RNAcentral lists this ribosomal RNA (489 nucleotides) under Kumbadjena sp. WAM-T133782. RNAcentral describes it as "bacterial SSU rRNA". It matches the Rfam family "Eukaryotic small subunit ribosomal RNA", at positions 1194 to 1449 of the family's 1831-position model. The record is from RNAcentral. Lineage: Eukaryota; Metazoa; Onychophora; Udeonychophora; Euonychophora; Peripatopsidae.
UUUGACUCAACACGGGAAACCUCACCCGGCCCGGACACCGCGAGGAUUGACAGAUUGAGAGCUCUUUCUCGAUUCGGUGGGUGGUGGUGCAUGGCCGUUCUUAGUUGGUGGAGCGAUUUGUCUGGUUAAUUCCGAUAACGAACGAGACUCUAGCCGGUUAAGUAGCCCGGAGCGGUUUUUGAUCUUUGCCGUCCGUCCUCCGUCCUACCUUUUUUUUCCCGUCCUCGGCCGACCGGCCACGGAGGGAAAAGGGAAAGGCGAGGAGGUGGUCAUCCGUGGUGGUUUUUCUGUUCCGUGCACGUUCGCCUUCACCGGCGGGCGUUGUGCGGGCGGUACCCUCGGGGAAACCGUCACUUCGUUUCCUCCCUAACCUUUCGCCCGCGAGGUCGAGACGGAAAGGGUGGUCGAGGCGGAAGCAUAACCGAAGGCCGCCGGCUUUUGCAGGAAGCUUCUUAGAGGGACGAGCGGCGUUCAGCCGCCCGAGAUUGA